AUGAAGGCCCUAGGGUUGUAAAGCCUCUUUUGUGCGGGAAGAUAAUGACGGUACCGCAAGAAUAAGCCCCGGCUAACUUCGUGCCAGCAGCCGCGGUAAU
RNAcentral lists this ribosomal RNA (100 nucleotides) under uncultured Nitrobacter sp. RNAcentral describes it as "partial 16S ribosomal RNA". It matches the Rfam family "Bacterial small subunit ribosomal RNA", at positions 408 to 524 of the family's 1533-position model. The record is from RNAcentral. Lineage: Bacteria; Pseudomonadati; Pseudomonadota; Alphaproteobacteria; Hyphomicrobiales; Nitrobacteraceae.